CCAGCACAUAAGAUCAAGCAAAGCAAAUAAAAUCGAAAGUCAAACUUGGAAUCUGUUCUUCAGCUGCUCAUCCCCUACAACAAAGAGACAUGAAAAAAACAAAAAAAAAAAAAAACUCAGAAGAGCAAAAGAAUGUCGUCUGAAUUUCAAACAAUUUGAAGAAUACCAUUCCAAACCAAAGUUCCCCUUUUUCAUAUUCUCCCAAUACACGGAACACGCAUUCUUCCAAUACACACACAACAUUAAUUACUUAAUUACUAGUGUCUUCAAUUCUUGAUUCGAAAUGAAGGAGAUGCCCCUGCAGGUGAACGGAGGAGGAGAUGGACAAGUGCGGGAUGCACCUUCUUGCAUUACCGCACGUGUAGAGGUGCAUCAAGGGUUUGACCUAGCGCUUGCCCACCGACAACGUGCUACAACUCGCAUGCACUCAGAUCUCACGUAACAAUGAUCUCGUGCCGCCGAGACUAGAUCUGCUCGUUUGGUGGUGGUGGUUGUAAGGUAUGGCGAUGAUCUUGAAGGUAACGAUGAGUCCCACGUCCUGCACGUGUCCUCCCGCUAUGCCGACACUCACCUCGCCACGCUCCUCAAACACCAAGAACAAGGCACCCACCCCUCCAACGGCCACUGAACCUGUUCGUCGAUGCGGGCGACAACCGCCACCACUUUCCGAGGCUCGAUAUGGUCAGAUCGCCUUCUCUCUCUGCAGAUCCAUACACUGUUUCUCUCUCUUCGUGUUCCUUCUGGCCAUUGGGGUAAGAAAGUUUCAAAGAUGAAGAGGUUGGAGAGAGGGGUUCGGAAAUUUGUGACGGUUUUUGCAUUUUGUGGGCCCCAGAAAUCGUAACUAUUUAUGGGAACAACGAGAGUGACACGUGGAUUUGAUUAUAGAUUUUAAUUUUACAAUGAAAACUUUUUCAUACUUCGAGGACAAAAAAACAUACUUUAUCCUUUUAAGGAUAGAGGAUAAAAAAAAUACAUAUUAUCUAUAAAGGUAAAAUUAAAAACGUUAUGCCGAGGUGGAA
Molecule: long non-coding RNA, 1019 nt
Filed under: Glycine max (soybean)
Lineage: Eukaryota; Viridiplantae; Streptophyta; Magnoliopsida; Fabales; Fabaceae
Description: long non-coding RNA (GMAX_LNC000723)
Source: RNAcentral